AACGAACGCUGGCGGCGUGGAUUAGGCAUGCAAGUCGAACGCGAAAGAGGGGGUAACUCCUCGAGUAGAGUGGCGAACGGGUGAGUAACACGUGAGAAACCUGCCUUCAGCAGGGGGAUAACACUCCCAACGGGGUGCUAAUACCGCAUGAGACCACGGAUUCGCAUGGAUCUGGGGUCAAAGGUGGCCUCUGCUUGCAAGCUACCGGCUGAAGAUGGUCUCGCGCCCAUUAGCUAGUUGGUGGGGUAAUGGCCCACCAAGGCGACGAUGGGUAGCUGGUCUGAGAGGAUGGUCAGCCACACUGGGACUGAGAUA
Molecule: ribosomal RNA, 315 nt
Filed under: uncultured bacterium
Lineage: Bacteria
Description: bacterial SSU rRNA
Rfam family: Bacterial small subunit ribosomal RNA
Source: RNAcentral